This 346-nucleotide unclassified non-coding RNA is filed under the name soil metagenome. Its description in RNAcentral is "partial contains 5.8S ribosomal RNA, internal transcribed spacer 2, and large subunit ribosomal RNA". The stretch from base 1 to 119 matches the Rfam family "5.8S ribosomal RNA", at positions 35 to 154 of the family's 154-position model. The record is from RNAcentral.
GAUGAAGAACGCAGCGAAAUGCGAUACGUAAUGUGAAUUGCAAAUUCAGUGAAUCAUCGAGUCUUUGAACGCACAUUGCGCCCCCUGGUAUUCCGGGGGGCAUGCCUGUCCGAGCGUCAUUGCUGCCCUCAAGCACGGCUUGUGUGUUGGGCCGUCGUCCCCCUCCUAGGGGACGGGCCCGAAAGGCAGCGGCGGCACCGCGUCCGGUCCUCGAGCGUAUGGGGCUUCGUCACCCGCUCCGUAGGCCCGGCCGGCGCUUGCCGACGACCAUCAAUCUCUUUCUCCAGGUUGACCUCGGAUCAGGUAGGGAUACCCGCUGAACUUAAGCAUAUCAAUAAGCGGAGGA